RNAcentral lists this ribosomal RNA (692 nucleotides) under uncultured bacterium. Its description in RNAcentral is "bacterial SSU rRNA". It matches the Rfam family "Bacterial small subunit ribosomal RNA", at positions 790 to 1482 of the family's 1533-position model. The record is from RNAcentral.
GUAGUCCACGCCGUAAACGAUGAAUACUAGGUGUCGGGGGUCAAACCUCGGUGCCGCAGCAAACGCAUUAAGUAUUCCGCCUGGGGAGUACGCACGCAAGUGUGAAACUCAAAGGAAUUGACGGGGACCCGCACAAGCAGCGGAGCAUGUGGUUUAAUUCGAAGCAACGCGAAGAACCUUACCAGGUCUUGACAUCCUCCUGAAUGUAGCUUAGCAGUUACAGACCUUCGGGACAGGAGAGACAGGUGGUGCAUGGUUGUCGUCAGCUCGUGUCGUGAGAUGUUGGGUUAAGUCCCGCAACGAGCGCAACCCUUAUGUUUAGUUGUUAACAGGUUAAGCUGAACCCUCUAGACAGACUGCCGAGGAUAACUCGGAGGAAGGCGGGGAUGACGUCAAAUCAUCAUGCCCCUUAUGAUCUGGGCUACACACGUGCUACAAUGGCUGGUACAACGGGCAGCGAAAGAGCGAUCUGGAGCGAAUCCUAAAAAGCCAGUCCCAGUUCGGAUUGUAGGCUGAAACUCGCCUACAUGAAGUUGGAGUUGCUAGUAAUCGCGGAUCAGAAUGCCGCGGUGAAUGCGUUCCCGGGUCUUGUACACACCGCCCGUCACACCAUGGAAGUUGGGGGCGCCCGAAGCCAGUGGUCCAACCCGUAAGGGAGGAAGCUGUCGAAGGUGAAAUCAAUGACUGGGGUG